AAAUAAGCAGGAAGUUCAAUGGGAUGGGAUAUUUACAAAUUUCACUUGUUAGCCACUUGGCCAACGGGAGAUUUCAAGAGAUACUUUUUCUUUUGCUAUUUCAAGUGCUAUUUCAAUUCAUUUAAUAUUUUGAAGUUGAGAUGUAUUUAAAAAAAAAAAAAAAAAAAGUUAACAUCCAUGCCCUCCCAGUACUCUAAAACUACAUCUUGGGUUAAUAUGUGUCCUUUAAAAAAUAAUAAUAAUAAUAAUAAUAAUCAUUAAAUCGAAACCUCAUUAGAUAAACUUCAACAAUAUAAUCAAAGACAUCAACACGACAUUUAAAAUACCGUAUGCUAAAAGCAAAACUAGCACAGGACAAAAGCCGUAUGAAAACUACUAACCCAUAUCACCACAAUUAUCCAUAAGUUCAAACAAAGUCCACAAACCCAACAUACCCUAAAACAACCCAUGAACUUAGACGAACCCUACCACCACCACCUGAAGAAGCGCCGUCGCGGCCACACCCAUCACCUCAUCCAUAACAGAUAUGGGGAAAAUAUGAUUUCUAGCGAUCUACUUGAGCAUAAGAGCGAACAAAUAAACAAAAACAAGAAUCUUGCUAAAGAACAAUUGGGUGAUUUGCAUCAAUUUCAGUCAAAGAUGAUGUAGAAUCAAAUUUAGAGAACAUGAGCGAAGUUUUUUUUUUUUUUCAGGAAUAGAUGCUUUAUUAAAAUAAUAAGUACCAUAAGCGACGUUGGAGAGCGGGUUUUGGUAUCAGGAUUUGAUUGAGAACAUAGAUUAAAAUGGGUGAUGGGAAACUUCAAUCUAACCAUUGCUCAAAAGAAACCACCACAAGGGGCUUUUUAUUCAAACCAUCCAGUGAACUUACUUAUUAAAGUGAAUGUUAGCUGUAAAUAUGAAGGUUCCAAACCGAACAUUUGUAUAUCAUCGACCUUUAAGAAUUUAAGUUAGGAUAAAAUAAAUAACUAAAUUAAAGGUUCACUGCAAUUCAACAUAACAAAUACAUAUAAUUUUUACAAUGAACUCUAAAAUCAAUUUUAAAACUGUUUUGUUUGUUGUUGUUCUCUUUGUUAUUGAUCCCAUCCUCACUCUUCUCUUUUACCCAAUGGAAAACAGAAAACCAAAAUUUUUAACUAAAAAAUGAAAACGAAAACAGAAAUGUCACCAAACGAGAGCUUUUUAUUAUGGGAAGUGCUAGCAACCUUCUCUCUAACCUUCUCUUUUGGACCUUCUCCCUUCUUCUUAUGACAAGUGUCACUUUCCAUACACUAAAAACAAUGUCAUUAAUGCAUCACACAAACUAGUUUUUGUUUUUCAAGUUUAAUUUUUUUUAAUUUUUAAUUUUUCCAAAAAGAACGCGUGUUUUGUUAAAAACAAAAUAAAGAUGAUAACAAUAUCAUGAAACAAACUUUAUUUUUAUUUUUAAAAAAUAUGAAUUUUUUUUAAAUGUUUUUUUAAAUAUUUAUUUUUUAACAAUGUGCUAAAGAAGUUAUAAUAAAUUGAAGGAAAUAUAAAAGCUAAUAUAUUUUAAAAGGGUAAACUUGGAAAAUAAAAACUAAAUUAUGUGAUACAUUAAUGACAUUGUUUUAAGUGUAAGAAAAAUGACACUUGUCAUAAAGAGAAAAGAGAAAAUCCAAAAAAAAAAAUUAGAGAAAAAAUUACUAUUAUUCCUCUUUUAUUAUUUGAUAGAUUUAAUCUCAUUUUCAAUAGAGCCACGGUGAAAACAAAACAAAACAAAAUAAAAUUUCCGAAACGCAGAAACAGAAAAGACAGAAAAGGAAUUUCCAAGUCUCUCUCUCUCUCUCCCCCACCCAUAAGAAGCCGCACCGCGUUCAAAGUUUCAACCUUUCAACUUUCAACUACUCUACUCUGCUCAUAAUUUCCUCUCACUUUCGCAAACCCUUUUCUGAAUUUUUUUAUUAAUUUUUAAAUUGUGGACAUUAAAGUCCAAUUCUUUUUCAGAAACGGGGACGACGAACUGCUAUAAAAUAAAGCCAAAGUAAAGUCCUUUUUUCCUCACAUCUAAAUAAGAAAUUGAGUUUCCUCUGGAAACCAAUUCUGAAGCUCUGUUUUUUUCCCAAAUUUUCACUGACCAUGCCGCUUCCGUGGAAGAAGAUGCGGGUGAACCGAAUUUCCCAAUUCGUCGCCGAUCUCCAAUCACCGAAACGGGGCGGUUCACUCGUGGUCCAGACUGGUUUUCCGACCUCCCUCGUCGACCUCUUCGUCAAGAACCGCGAUCACUUGAAAAAGC
RNAcentral lists this long non-coding RNA (2251 nucleotides) under Prunus persica (peach). RNAcentral describes it as "long non-coding RNA (PPER_LNC004025)". The record is from RNAcentral. Lineage: Eukaryota; Viridiplantae; Streptophyta; Magnoliopsida; Rosales; Rosaceae.